Molecule: non-coding RNA, 119 nt
Organism: Toxocara canis (dog roundworm)
Lineage: Eukaryota; Metazoa; Nematoda; Chromadorea; Rhabditida; Toxocaridae
Source: Rfam
CCAGGGUGCGAUACCAAGUUGAAAACACGACAUCCCCUCCGAUCUGUCACGUUAAGCAACGUCCGGCCUGGUUAGUACUUGGAUCGGAGACGGCUUGGGAAUCCCAGGUGCUGUAAGCA